CGUCGGUCUCCUGCUGGUAGCAGAAAUCGAUCUUUGCUCAGGUGUAUGAAGGUUUAGUGUGUGUUUGAUUGUUUGGGAUCGGUUGAUCGAUCGAUCGAUCGGGGUGAAGCCUAUAUAAUGCUUCAUCUCUCUCUGCUGUUAAUGCUGUUGUUUCAAUUGUUUGUUGCUGUUUCUCCUUUUUAAACCCGUAUAAUUGGAUAUCUUUUUGCGAGUCAUAAUUCUGGUUUGAUUAGAUCUUUCUUCCGGUGGUUUGUUUCUUUCUGAUUUGGAAUGCUAUGUUCACUGCAAACUUUUAGUUUCUUACCUUUUUUUGGUUUAUUUGUGAUCAUGGGUCUGUUAUGAAUUUGUAAAUGAGAGAUUUGAUUUCUUUGUACGAUGUUGGAUAUAUCUCUACCACCAGAUGGGGACUAUACGUCUGCCCCUUUAGCAGG
Molecule: unclassified non-coding RNA, 431 nt
Filed under: Hevea brasiliensis (rubber tree)
Lineage: Eukaryota; Viridiplantae; Streptophyta; Magnoliopsida; Malpighiales; Euphorbiaceae
Source: RNAcentral